UACGGGGGGGGCAAGCGUUGUUCGGAAUUACUGGGCGUAAAGGGCUCGUAGGCGGCCAACUAAGUCAGACGUGAAAUCCCUCGGCUCAACUGAGGAACUGCCUUUGAAACUGGACGGCUUGAGGCCGGGAGAGGGUAGCGGAAUUCCCAGUGUAGCGGUGAAAUGCGUAGAUACUGGGAGGAACACCGGUGGCGAAGGCGGCUACCUGGACCGGUUCUGACGCUGAGGCGCGAAAGCGUGGGUAGCAAACAGG
RNAcentral lists this ribosomal RNA (253 nucleotides) under uncultured bacterium. RNAcentral describes it as "partial 16S ribosomal RNA". It matches the Rfam family "Bacterial small subunit ribosomal RNA", at positions 524 to 776 of the family's 1533-position model. The record is from RNAcentral.